RNAcentral lists this ribosomal RNA (501 nucleotides) under uncultured bacterium. RNAcentral describes it as "partial 16S ribosomal RNA". It matches the Rfam family "Bacterial small subunit ribosomal RNA", at positions 30 to 523 of the family's 1533-position model. The record is from RNAcentral.
AUUGAACGCUGGCGGCAGGCUUGACACAUGCAAGUCGAGCGGAGAUGAGGUGCUUGCACCUUAUCUUAGCGGCGGACGGGUGAGUAAUGCUUAGGAAUCUGCCUAUUAGUGGGGGACAACAUUCCGAAAGGAAUGCUGAUACCGCAUACGUCCUACGGGAGAAAGCAGGGGAUCUUCGGACCUUGCGCUAAUAGACGAGCCUAAGUCGGAUUAGCUAGUUGGUGGGGUAAAGGCCUACCAAGGCGAGGAUCUGUAGCGGGUCUGAGAGGAUGAUCCGCCACACUGGGACUGAGACACGGCCCAGACUCCUACGGGAGGCAGCAGUGGGGAAUAUUGGACAAUGGGGGGAACCCUGAUCCAGCCAUGCCGCGUGUGUGAAGAAGGCCUUAUGGUUGUAAAGCACUUUAAGCGAGGAGGAGGCUACUGAGACUAAUACUCUUGGAUAGUGGACGUUACUCGCAGAAUAAGCACCGGCUAACCCUGUGCCAGCAGCCGCCGUAA